Molecule: long non-coding RNA, 1033 nt
Organism: Oncorhynchus tshawytscha (Chinook salmon)
Lineage: Eukaryota; Metazoa; Chordata; Actinopteri; Salmoniformes; Salmonidae
Source: Ensembl
CAAAUAAAUGAACCAAUAUUAACCUGUAGCUGACCUGGUCAGUCUCGUGGAAAGAGCUGGUGUUCUUAAUGUUUUGUACACUGUAUGUAAGGUAAUAUUGAUUUUGUACACGAUCUUACCUAGUUAUUACCAUAGGUGUGUACAUACGAUGUGCCAUAUCUGCAGGUGAACUGUAUAAAGGUCCCCCUUCACCCUCUGGUGGCAUGGAUAACUUAAUGUCUCUAGAGAAACCUGGGUUUAGAUUUUUACAAGAACGACUACCUUUUAGAGAAUACGCACCAAUACAGCUGUGGGUGUAGAUUGAGUAUCAGAGUUCUGAGUUGCAGUAUUUAUACCAGGGGCUGAUUUUUAUAUGCACAAAAAAUAAGUUAUUUUAGCUGGGGUCAAAAUGACCUCAAAGUAUUUUUUUUUUUUUUUUUUAAAGGUCCAUAUUGAUAAUUUAUAUUGCGAACAAGUUGAUUGACAAAGUAAUGAAACAUUUAAUAAACCAGCAUUAAGCAGACUGUAGGUUACGAUUCAUGCCUUAAAAUAAUUUCUUCAUACCUUUUCUUGACUAACAUUCAAACCCAAAUGCUUGUAACGCAUACUGUAGAGUUCUUCAUAGUAUGUUGAGUUGGCUUAGAGACAAGUACAAGGAAUAACAAAGGUAAGCAAGCCCUGCGCGAUCCGGAACAGUUCAUAUUUCUGUAGCACGAGGCAGCUUGAUGCAGAAAUACACCUCCUCGACAGGACGUUAGUCUAUUGCAGGGCCUUCCAAUCUAUAUUCUUAAUGGUGAGUUCCAAGCAGAGAAGCAUCCGGUCCCAUUUAUACAGUCUUUGGUAUGACUCGGCGAGGGAUUAAACUCACAACCUUCCAAUCUCAGGGCGGACACUAACCAGGCCACUGAGUUGGUGCCAAUAACGGAGAAAAAAAACGCCAUUAUUCAAUUAGCUGAUGGAUCCUCUGGAGCCAAGUAGCAUUGAAUCAAAAGCAAAAUCUCUAAAUUGAUGGGAGAUUGCAGUGUAAAUUUGAAUUAAUAGCGUUCAUCCACGC